ACUAGGAUUAGAUACCCUACUAUGCCUGAGAAUAAAUCAUGACGCACUCUACCAGCCGUCCGCCAGAAAAUUACGGGUGAAAACCUAAAACUCAAAAGACUUGACGGUAUUCCACCUAUCUAGAGGAGCCUGUUCCAUAAUCGAUAACCCACGCUUAACCUAACCACCCCUUGAAAAAUCAGCCUAUAUACCGCCGUCACCAGCUUAUCUUUUGAAAGCCCAAAUAUAAGCACAAUAGUAAAAUACUAAAAAGUCAGGUCAAGGUGUAGCCAAUGUGGUGGCGGCAAUGGGCUACAUUAUCUACCAAAGAUACACGAACUUUACCCCGAACCUUUGGGUAAAUCAAAGAUGGAUUUAGUAGUAAAUUAUAACAAGAAUAU
Molecule: ribosomal RNA, 380 nt
Filed under: Alopoglossus brevifrontalis
Lineage: Eukaryota; Metazoa; Chordata; Lepidosauria; Squamata; Alopoglossidae
Description: partial 12S ribosomal RNA
Rfam family: Bacterial small subunit ribosomal RNA
Source: RNAcentral